This 30-nucleotide non-coding RNA is filed under the name Homo sapiens (human). Lineage: Eukaryota; Metazoa; Chordata; Mammalia; Primates; Hominidae. The record is from RNAcentral.
UCUCUGAUGGCCAGUGAUGAUGAACGUUUU